This 204-nucleotide long non-coding RNA is filed under the name Elaeis guineensis (African oil palm). RNAcentral's name for it is "long non-coding RNA (EGUI_LNC060036)". Lineage: Eukaryota; Viridiplantae; Streptophyta; Magnoliopsida; Arecales; Arecaceae. The record is from RNAcentral.
AGAUGUAAGGAUACAUCUGCACUGAACGUGACCAACUCUGGAGCUAUUUCUACUGUCAAGAUUUGCUCCGAUGGGAUAUGGAUAUAAAUCUCCCUCCGAUCUAAGACCGCCACGGUGACUUGCAAGCAACUCACUGCACUUAGGCACUGGACUAUCUGAAUUUCUAAUUCAGUGAUGGAAGGCUGCUGGGUGUAGUCAAGUACU